RNAcentral lists this ribosomal RNA (496 nucleotides) under uncultured bacterium. RNAcentral's name for it is "partial 16S ribosomal RNA". It matches the Rfam family "Bacterial small subunit ribosomal RNA", at positions 28 to 506 of the family's 1533-position model. The record is from RNAcentral.
GAUGAACGCUGGCGGCGUGCCUAAUACAUGCAAGUCGAGCGAACGGACGAGAAGCUUGCUUCUCUGAUGUUAGCGGCGGACGGGUGAGUAACACGUGGAUAACCUACCUAUAAGACUGGGAUAACUUCGGGAAACCGUAGCUAAUACCGGAUAAUAUUUUGAACCGCAUGGUUCAAAAGUGAAAGACGGUCUUGCUGUCACUUAUAGAUGGAUCCGCGCUGCAUUAGCUAGUUGGUAAGGUAACGGCUUACCAAGGCAACGAUGCAUAGCCGACCUGAGAGGGUGAUCGGCCACACUGGAACUGAGACACGGUCCAGACUCCUACGGGAGGCAGCAGUAGGGAAUCUUCCGCAAUGGGCGAAAGCCUGACGGAGCAACGCCGCGUGAGUGAUGAAGGUCUUCGGAUCGUAAAACUCUGUUAUUAGGGAAGAACAUAUGUGCAAGUAACUGUGCACAUCUUGACGGUACCUAAGCAGAAAGCCACGGCUAACUACGU